Molecule: ribosomal RNA, 483 nt
Filed under: uncultured bacterium
Lineage: Bacteria
Description: bacterial SSU rRNA
Rfam family: Bacterial small subunit ribosomal RNA
Source: RNAcentral
UUGAACGCUGGCGGCAGGCCUAACACAUGCAAGUCGAGCGGUAGAGAGGUGCUUGCAUCUCUUGAGAGCGGCGGACGGGUGAGUAAUGCCUAGGAAUCUGCCUGGUGGUGGGGGAUAACGUUCGGAAACGGACGCUAAUACCGCAUACGUCCUACGGGAGAAAGCGGGGGAUCUUCGGACCUCGCGCCAUUAGAUGAGCCUAAGUCGGAUUAGCUAGUUGGUGAGGUAAUGGCUCACCAAGGCGACGAUCCGUAACUGGUCUGAGAGGAUGAUCAGUCACACUGGAACUGAGACACGGUCCAGACUCCUACGGGAGGCAGCAGUGGGGAAUUUUGGACAAUGGGCGCAAGCCUGAUCCAGCCAUUCCGCGUGCAGGAUGAAGGCCCUCGGGUUGUAAACUGCUUUUGUACGGAACGAAACGGUGAGCUCUAAUACAGUUUGCUAAUGACGGUACCGUAAGAAUAAGCACCGGCUAACUACGUG